CGGAGUGAGUAAUGCUUGGGAAUCUAGCUUAUGGAGGGGGAUAACUACGGGAAACUGUAGCUAAUACCGCGUAAUAUCGAAAGAUUAAAGUGUGGGACCUUCGGGCCACAUGCCAUAGGAUGAGCCCAAGUGGGAUUAGGUAGUUGGUGAGGUAAAGGCUCACCAAGCCGACGAUCUCUAGCUGGUCUGAGAGGAUGACCAGCCACACUGGGACUGAGACACGGCCCAG
RNAcentral lists this ribosomal RNA (229 nucleotides) under uncultured bacterium. RNAcentral describes it as "partial 16S ribosomal RNA". It matches the Rfam family "Bacterial small subunit ribosomal RNA", at positions 104 to 334 of the family's 1533-position model. The record is from RNAcentral.